Molecule: long non-coding RNA, 445 nt
Organism: Apis cerana (Asiatic honeybee)
Lineage: Eukaryota; Metazoa; Arthropoda; Insecta; Hymenoptera; Apidae
Source: RefSeq, a predicted model, not a curated record
AUUUUAUCGCAUUUGGCUGGUGCCACACCUCCAUCAGUAACUAUAGAUAUUGCACGUGCAUUUACUUGAGGCAACGUACGAUGUGAUUGAAACGUUGGCAACGAGUUCGAAGAAGGAAAGAUGAUUUCUCGAAGAUGUGAAGAGGAAAGAAGAGAUGCGAGGCUUUUACAUAACAUCAUUGUUAAUAUAUGAUAAAUAGUUAAAAGAUUGAUUAUAAAACGAAUGUAAAAAGCACAGUAAAAUAUAACAAAUAUAGAUACAAUAUUAUUCUUAAGAAUGCAACAAGUUCAAAAUCGAAGAAGCACGGAUCCAAUACUAAACCAUGCAUUCCAUGCAUUAUGCAUGUUUCAUAAUUAAUCAUGCCACGCCCUCAACAAAAGCAUCAAGGUACAUGGCCUUAUGCACACCUUCCACGUAUGCGUGCAAACGUUCUGAAAGUUGCACC